AUUGAACGCUGGCGGCAUGCUUUACACAUGCAAGUCGAACGGUAACAGGCCGCAAGGUGCUGACGAGUGGCGCACGGGUGAGUAAUGCAUCGGAACGUGCCCAGUCGUGGGGGAUAACUACUCGAAAGAGUAGCUAAUACCGCAUACGAUCUAUGGAUGAAAGCGGGGGACCGUAAGGCCUCGCGCGAUUGGAGCGGCCGAUGUCAGAUUAGGUAGUUGGUGGGGUAAAGGCUCACCAAGCCAACGAUCUGUGGCUGGUCUGAGAGGACGACCAGCCACACUGGGACUGAGACACGGCCCAGACUCCUACGGGAGGCAGCAGUGGGGAAUUUUGGACAAUGGGCGCAAGCCUGAUCCAGCAAUGCCGCGUGCAGGAAGAAGGCCUUCGGGUUGUAAACUGCUUUUGUACGGAACGAAACGGCUCUGGUUAAUACCCGGGGCUAAUGACGGUACCGUAAGAAUAAGCACCGGCUAACUACGUG
RNAcentral lists this ribosomal RNA (482 nucleotides) under uncultured bacterium. Its description in RNAcentral is "partial 16S ribosomal RNA". It matches the Rfam family "Bacterial small subunit ribosomal RNA", at positions 30 to 507 of the family's 1533-position model. The record is from RNAcentral.